This 1015-nucleotide ribosomal RNA is filed under the name human gut metagenome. RNAcentral's name for it is "bacterial SSU rRNA". It matches the Rfam family "Bacterial small subunit ribosomal RNA", at positions 510 to 1520 of the family's 1533-position model. The record is from RNAcentral.
AGCAGCCGCGGUAAUACGUAGGGUGCAAGCGUUAUCCGGAAUUAUUGGGCGUAAAGGGCUCGUAGGCGGUUCGUCGCGUCCGGUGUGAAAGUCCAUCGCUUAACGGUGGAUCUGCGCCGGGUACGGGCGGGCUGGAGUGCGGUAGGGGAGACUGGAAUUCCCGGUGUAACGGUGGAAUGUGUAGAUAUCGGGAAGAACACCAAUGGCGAAGGCAGGUCUCUGGGCCGUUACUGACGCUGAGGAGCGAAAGCGUGGGGAGCGAACAGGAUUAGAUACCCUGGUAGUCCACGCCGUAAACGGUGGAUGCUGGAUGUGGGGCCCGUUCCACGGGUUCCGUGUCGGAGCUAACGCGUUAAGCAUCCCGCCUGGGGAGUACGGCCGCAAGGCUAAAACUCAAAGAAAUUGACGGGGGCCCGCACAAGCGGCGGAGCAUGCGGAUUAAUUCGAUGCAACGCGAAGAACCUUACCUGGGCUUGACAUGUUCCCGACAGCCGUAGAGAUAUGGCCUCCCUUCGGGGCGGGUUCACAGGUGGUGCAUGGUUGUCGUCAGCUCGUGUCGUGAGAUGUUGGGUUAAGUCCCGCAACGAGCGCAACCCUCGCCCUGUGUUGCCAGCACGUCAUGGUGGGAACUCACGGGGGACCGCCGGGGUCAACUCGGAGGAAGGUGGGGAUGACGUCAGAUCAUCAUGCCCCUUACGUCCAGGGCUUCACGCAUGCUACAAUGGCCGGUACAACGGGAUGCGACACGGCGACGUGGAGCGGAUCCCUGAAAACCGGUCUCAGUUCGGAUUGGAGUCUGCAACCCGACUCCAUGAAGGCGGAGUCGCUAGUAAUCGCGGAUCAGCAACGCCGCGGUGAAUGCGUUCCCGGGCCUUGUACACACCGCCCGUCAAGUCAUGAAAGUGGGUAGCACCCGAAGCCGGUGGCCUAACCCUUUGUGGAUGGAGCCGUCUAAGGUGAGACUCGUGAUUGGGACUAAGUCGUAACAAGGUAGCCGUACCGGAAGGUGCGGCUG